AGUGGCGGACGGGUGAGUAACACGUAAGAAUUUGCCUUUAGGAGGGGGACAACAACUAGAAAUGGUUGCUAAUACCCCAUAUGCUUUCGAGUGAAAUGGAUUUUUCCGCCUAGAGAGAAGCUUGCGGCUGAUUAGCUUGUUGGUGAGGUAAUGGCUCACCAAGGCGACGAUCAGUAUCUGGUUUGAGAGGACGAUCAGACACACUGGAACUGAGACACGGUCCAGACUCUUACGGGAGGCAGCAGUGGGGAAUUUUCCGCAAUGGGCGAAAGCCUGACGGAGCAAUACCGCGUGAGGGAUGACGGCCUAUGGGUUGUAAACCUCUUUUUUCAGGGAGGAAUCAAUGACGUGUACCUGAAGAAUAAGCAUCGGCUAACUCCGUGCCAGCAGCCGCGGUAAGACGGAGGAUGCAAGUGUUAUCCGGAAUCACUGGGCGUAAAGCGUCUGUAGGUGGUCCAAUAAGUCAACUGUUAAAUCUUGAGGCUCAACCUCAAAAUCGCAGUCGAAACUAUUAGACUAGAGUAUAGUAGGGGUAAAGGGAAUUUCCAGUGGAGCGGUGAAAUGCGUAGAGAUUGGAAAGAACACCGAUGGCGAAGGCACUUUACUGGGCUAUUACUAACACUCAGAGACGAAAGCUAGGGUAGCAAAUGGGAUUAGAUACCCCAGUAGUCCUAGCCGUAAACAAUGGAUACUAGAUGUU
This 700-nucleotide ribosomal RNA is filed under the name uncultured bacterium. RNAcentral describes it as "bacterial SSU rRNA". It matches the Rfam family "Bacterial small subunit ribosomal RNA", at positions 94 to 824 of the family's 1533-position model. The record is from RNAcentral.